Molecule: non-coding RNA, 90 nt
Organism: Crassisporium funariophilum
Lineage: Eukaryota; Fungi; Basidiomycota; Agaricomycetes; Agaricales; Crassisporiaceae
Source: the annotation of a GenBank genome assembly
UCUCUGUUAGUAUAUCGGUUAGUACACGCGCCUGUCAUAUACACAUAUGGUCGGACGCGCGAAAGCUGGGUUCGACUCCCAGACAGAGAG